GGGCCCGCACAAGCAGCGGAGCGUGUUGCUUAAUUCGAUGCAACGCGAAGAACCUUACCAGGGUUUGAAAUCAUUUCAAAACUCCUUGAAAGAGGAGCCUCCUUCGGGAUGAAAUGACAGGUGGUGCAUGGCUGUCGUCAGCUCGUGUUGUGAAAUGUCGAGUUAAGUCUCGUAACGAGCGCAACCCAUGUCUCUUGUUGCUCACUGAGUGCUUAAGAGAGACUGCCGACCAACAUCGGAGGAAGGUGUGGAUGAUGUCAAGUCAGCAUGCCCCUUACAUCCUGGGCUACACACGUACUACAAUGGUAAGGACAAUGAGCUGCGAUCCUGCGAAGGCUAGCCAAUCUACAAAAACCUUAUCUCAGUUCGGAUUGCACUCUGCAACUCGAGUGCAUGAAGGUGGAAUC
This 407-nucleotide ribosomal RNA is filed under the name uncultured bacterium. Its description in RNAcentral is "bacterial SSU rRNA". It matches the Rfam family "Bacterial small subunit ribosomal RNA", at positions 917 to 1333 of the family's 1533-position model. The record is from RNAcentral.